This is a non-coding RNA of Gossypium hirsutum (cotton), 104 nucleotides long. NCBI's taxonomy places the organism in Eukaryota, Viridiplantae, Streptophyta, Magnoliopsida, Malvales, Malvaceae. The record is from Rfam.
AAUCUGUGGUACGGGCAUUAUUGAAUCAACAUUUUGAAACGUUCCUACGCCUUAUAAAAAUUUUCUCCCUCCAUCUGUCUAAAAAAAAUCUCUCUUCUUAGUUG